GUCUGCAUGGUUCCAUUCAGUACUGCCUUAAAUGUCUGUGUGAAUAAGAAUGCAUUAAGAGAAGACCCGAAGAGUCAUAAUGACUCUUGAGAACAUUAAAAAUUCUAGGCAGACAGCCUUUAACACAGGGAGUUACUCACUUUCAAUCUCACUGGGGUUUAGCAGGAGUUAGUCUGGUUUGAGAGUUUAUCAUUCUCCACUCCUUACAUUAGUGUGGACUUUGUCUCUCUGAUGUGAAUUUCAGUUAGUUUUCUUUGCCUUCUGCGGCUCUCGCUCCAGCAUCUCUGAAGCAUCACCAAAUCAGUCUUGUUCCAUACUGAUUUCUGUUUGAAACACCGGCUGGUUUCACAUUCCUGCCCUCCCAUGCUUCAGCAACACCAUGAAGCUGAUACUGGAAGAAGCAUUUUUGCAAGCGUGAUCUCAAAGAAAAAUACUCAAGGGGAAUUCGGGGACCAGAGGUUUAAUGGUUGCGGCUUUAUAAUCUUUAUCAGAGCACUGAGGCAGUAAUAGGAAGAUAGGAGUAAUCACCUCCAAGAUUUCUGUCACCUCAAUCAACCUUCAAGGGAAAAUCAUCACAAGAGAGCCUCCGCUACAGCUUCACAGGUGGAGGGACAGUGAUGCAGCACUGGGAAGGAAAAAAUAUCACCUGAAAAAGAAUGCGGACAUAAAGUUUAUGUGCUUGACACCACAUCUGGCUCUGGUCCUUUCCUCUGGUUCCUCCUGGCUGCUUCUGGACACGUGGGCACUUGCCCACUCCAUUAUUAAAGAUUUCGAUGACAAUGUGAAUAUCAGAUGUCUGUUGCAUCUCACUGACUUUGGGCUCUGAAGCUCUGCAGUUGUUUGUUCGUGUUGUGUGGAUCCUUUUCUAGACCACUGGAGUGUUUUGCCAUGAGCUCACGGAUUUGGACUCUGGUGAUUAAAGUUGCUUCAAAGCAGGCACCAUUCACUGGGCUAUGAUGUGCAUAGCGCUAUGUGGAAUGUAGUGAAAUGUGGUAUAUUAUCAUAGGAAGCUGUGCACUAGUGGGUUUGCUGAAGUAUUCGCUGUGAAUGUGAUUACACAAGGAUCCUGUUUGUAGGUUACUGUAGUUGCUGUGAAUCAUUCUCGACUGAAAUAAAAGCACAUGAUAUUCAAAGGUCA
This 1138-nucleotide long non-coding RNA is filed under the name Phasianus colchicus (ring-necked pheasant). RNAcentral describes it as "lncRNA (ENSPCLG00000001921.1)". Lineage: Eukaryota; Metazoa; Chordata; Aves; Galliformes; Phasianidae. The record is from RNAcentral.